This 1469-nucleotide ribosomal RNA is filed under the name Lacticaseibacillus casei. RNAcentral's name for it is "bacterial SSU rRNA". It matches the Rfam family "Bacterial small subunit ribosomal RNA". Lineage: Bacteria; Bacillati; Bacillota; Bacilli; Lactobacillales; Lactobacillaceae. The record is from RNAcentral.
GGGGGGGCAUGCUAUACAUGCAGUCGAACGAGUUCUCGUUGAUGAUCGGUGCUUGCACCGAGAUUCAACAUGGAACGAGUGGCGGACGGGUGAGUAACACGUGGGUAACCUGCCCUUAAGUGGGGGAUAACAUUUGGAAACAGAUGCUAAUACCGCAUAGAUCCAAGAACCGCAUGGUUCUUGGCUGAAAGAUGGCGUAAGCUAUCGCUUUUGGAUGGACCCGCGGCGUAUUAGCUAGUUGGUGAGGUAAUGGCUCACCAAGGCGAUGAUACGUAGCCGAACUGAGAGGUUGAUCGGCCACAUUGGGACUGAGACACGGCCCAAACUCCUACGGGAGGCAGCAGUAGGGAAUCUUCCACAAUGGACGCAAGUCUGAUGGAGCAACGCCGCGUGAGUGAAGAAGGCUUUCGGGUCGUAAAACUCUGUUGUUGGAGAAGAAUGGUCGGCAGAGUAACUGUUGUCGGCGUGACGGUAUCCAACCAGAAAGCCACGGCUAACUACGUGCCAGCAGCCGCGGUAAUACGUAGGUGGCAAGCGUUAUCCGGAUUUAUUGGGCGUAAAGCGAGCGCAGGCGGUUUUUUAAGUCUGAUGUGAAAGCCCUCGGCUUAACCGAGGAAGCGCAUCGGAAACUGGGAAACUUGAGUGCAGAAGAGGACAGUGGAACUCCAUGUGUAGCGGUGAAAUGCGUAGAUAUAUGGAAGAACACCAGUGGCGAAGGCGGCUGUCUGGUCUGUAACUGACGCUGAGGCUCGAAAGCAUGGGUAGCGAACAGGAUUAGAUACCCUGGUAGUCCAUGCCGUAAACGAUGAAUGCUAGGUGUUGGAGGGUUUCCGCCCUUCAGUGCCGCAGCUAACGCAUUAAGCAUUCCGCCUGGGGAGUACGACCGCAAGGUUGAAACUCAAAGGAAUUGACGGGGGCCCGCACAAGCGGUGGAGCAUGUGGUUUAAUUCGAAGCAACGCGAAGAACCUUACCAGGUCUUGACAUCUUUUGAUCACCUGAGAGAUCAGGUUUCCCCUUCGGGGGCAAAAUGACAGGUGGUGCAUGGUUGUCGUCAGCUCGUGUCGUGAGAUGUUGGGUUAAGUCCCGCAACGAGCGCAACCCUUAUGACUAGUUGCCAGCAUUUAGUUGGGCACUCUAGUAAGACUGCCGGUGACAAACCGGAGGAAGGUGGGGAUGACGUCAAAUCAUCAUGCCCCUUAUGACCUGGGCUACACACGUGCUACAAUGGAUGGUACAACGAGUUGCGAGACCGCGAGGUCAAGCUAAUCUCUUAAAGCCAUUCUCAGUUCGGACUGUAGGCUGCAACUCGCCUACACGAAGUCGGAAUCGCUAGUAAUCGCGGAUCAGCACGCCGCGGUGAAUACGUUCCCGGGCCUUGUACACACCGCCCGUCACACCAUGAGAGUUUGUAACACCCGAAGCCGGUGGCGUAACCCUUUUAGGGAGCGAGCCGUCUAAGCUGACCAAA